This 300-nucleotide unclassified non-coding RNA is filed under the name Chytridiomycota sp. RNAcentral's name for it is "partial contains small subunit ribosomal RNA, internal transcribed spacer 1, and 5.8S ribosomal RNA". The stretch from base 1 to 47 matches the Rfam family "Eukaryotic small subunit ribosomal RNA", at positions 1785 to 1831 of the family's 1831-position model. Lineage: Eukaryota; Fungi; Chytridiomycota. The record is from RNAcentral.
AAAGUCGUAACAAGGUAACCGUAGGUGAACCUGCGGUUGGAUCAUUAAUAAAUUUGGAAAUUUCAAAUUUCCGAACCUUGUGUGCACUCGUAUCUGUCUCUGGCAGGGUUAAUCUGAGGUUUCGCUCAAACCCGUCGGUGUAAAAUCCUUCGGGUUGGAAAUCUCUGCCUGCCAUGUAGUGCCCGGUUUCGACUGGGCGCUGCUUUUGAAUAAACCAAUUGUCUCUUGAAUUAUAGUCUGAUUCUAUUCACUUUUGUGAAAUGGAGAAAACAACUUUUGACAACGGAUCUCUUGGCUCUC